CGACUAAGCGUACACGGUGGAUGCCCUGGCAGUCAGAGGCGAUGAAGGACGUGCUAAUCUGCGAAAAGCGUCGGUAAGGUGAUAUGAACCGUUACAGCCGGCGAUGUCCGAAUGGGGAAACCCAGUGCAAUUCGUUGCACUAUCGUUAACUGAAUACAUAGGUUAACGAGGCGAACCGGGGGAACUGAAACAUCUAAGUACCCCGAGGAAAAGAAAUCAACCG
This 223-nucleotide ribosomal RNA is filed under the name Klebsiella pneumoniae. Its description in RNAcentral is "partial 23S ribosomal RNA". It matches the Rfam family "Bacterial large subunit ribosomal RNA", at positions 1 to 231 of the family's 2925-position model. Lineage: Bacteria; Pseudomonadati; Pseudomonadota; Gammaproteobacteria; Enterobacterales; Enterobacteriaceae. The record is from RNAcentral.